Molecule: ribosomal RNA, 253 nt
Filed under: uncultured bacterium
Lineage: Bacteria
Description: partial 16S ribosomal RNA
Rfam family: Bacterial small subunit ribosomal RNA
Source: RNAcentral
UACGGAGGGGGCUAGCGUUGUUCGGAAUUACUGGGCGUAAAGCGCACGUAGGCGGCUUUGUAAGUUAGAGGUGAAAGCCCGGGGCUCAACUCCGGAAUUGCCUUUAAGACUGCAUCGCUUGAACGUCGGAGAGGUGAGUGGAAUUCCGAGUGUAGAGGUGAAAUUCGUAGAUAUUCGGAAGAACACCAGUGGCGAAGGCGACUCACUGGACGACUGUUGACGCUGAGGCGCGAAAGCCAGGGGAGCGAACGGG